Parelaphostrongylus tenuis is the source of this 71-nucleotide non-coding RNA. Lineage: Eukaryota; Metazoa; Nematoda; Chromadorea; Rhabditida; Metastrongylidae. The record is from the annotation of a GenBank genome assembly.
GCCUCGCUGGUGUAGUGGUAGCAGACGCCUCCGGUACGGGUGAGACGCGGGUUCAACUCUCGUUUGAGGUC